Molecule: non-coding RNA, 231 nt
Organism: Pelobates cultripes (western spadefoot toad)
Lineage: Eukaryota; Metazoa; Chordata; Amphibia; Anura; Pelobatidae
Source: the annotation of a GenBank genome assembly
CCCCAUGUCUCCUAGUGUCCCCAUGUCUAUGUCCACAAGUUCCCCCAUGUCUCAGUAUCCCCAAGUGUCUCAGUGUCCCCAUGCCUCCUAGCCAGUGUCCCUAGUGUCUCAGUGUCCCCAUGUCUUCCAGUGGCCUCUAGUCUCCCAGUGUCUGUGUCCCCAUGUCUCUGUGUCCCUAGUGUCUGUGUCCCCAUGUCUCCCAGUGUCCCAUGUCUGUAUCCACUAGUGCCC